Molecule: long non-coding RNA, 383 nt
Organism: Lynx canadensis (Canada lynx)
Lineage: Eukaryota; Metazoa; Chordata; Mammalia; Carnivora; Felidae
Exons: 3
Source: RefSeq, a predicted model, not a curated record
AAGGGGAGAGGGUCGGGGAGGAUUCCAGGGAAAAGUAGUGCCCCCCAAAGCUGAACUAUUUGAGAAAGGGAAGCGAAGAAAAAUCACUUUCCUGAAGAUAAAAGGCCGGGGCGCCGGCUGGUCGCAGUCACAAAGUUUCCAUUUCAGGCUAGGAAGUUGGCAUGCUCGAACUCUUUGGAACAAUGAUUACAUUUGUGUAAUAAACAUGAUGCCACAGCCUUGUCCAACCCCGCCCCCCACCACUGUAACAUGAGGCCAACACUUAAGAGGAGGCAGACCAACAAUGGAGAACUAACUUGGAUCCUCAAAUGACCUCCUGGAGUGGAGCCACCUACUCACCUUGGGCCACAGAUGAGAAAUAAAUAAACUCUGUUUUAUCUAAA